CUACGCACUCCUACGGGAGGCAGCAGUGGGGAAUAUUGCACAAUGGGCGCAAGCCUGAUGCAGCCAUGCCGCGUGUAUGAAGAAGGCCUUCGGGUUGUAAAGUACUUUCAGCAGUGAGGAAGGUGGGUAUGUUAAUAGCAUACUCAUUUGACGUUAGCUGCAGAAGAAGCACCGGCUAACUCCGUGCCAGCAGCCGCGGUAAUACGGAGGGUGCGAGCGUUAAUCGGAAUUACUGGGCGUAAAGCGCAUGCAGGUGGUUUGUUAAGUCAGAUGUGAAAGCCCGGGGCUCAACCUCGGAAUUGCAUUUGAAACUGGCAAACUAGAGUACUGUAGAGGGGGUAGAAUUUCAGGUGUAGCGGUGAAAUGCGUAGAGAUCUGAAGGAAUACCGGUGGCGAAGGCGGCCCCCCUGGACAGAUACUGACACUCAGAUGCGAAAGCGUGGGGAGCAAACAGGAUUAGACUACCCUGGUAG
RNAcentral lists this ribosomal RNA (473 nucleotides) under uncultured bacterium. RNAcentral's name for it is "bacterial SSU rRNA". It matches the Rfam family "Bacterial small subunit ribosomal RNA", at positions 329 to 793 of the family's 1533-position model. The record is from RNAcentral.